Molecule: small nuclear RNA, 107 nt
Organism: Mustela putorius furo (domestic ferret)
Lineage: Eukaryota; Metazoa; Chordata; Mammalia; Carnivora; Mustelidae
Source: Ensembl
GUGCUCACUUUGGCAGCACAUCUAAUGAAAUUGGAAUGAUACAGAGGAGAUCAACAUGGCUCCUGUGCAAGGAUGACACACAAAUUUAUGAAGCAUUCCAUAUUUCU